This is a long non-coding RNA of Papio anubis (olive baboon), 1752 nucleotides long. Lineage: Eukaryota; Metazoa; Chordata; Mammalia; Primates; Cercopithecidae. The record is from Ensembl.
CCUGAUCAGAAUGGCACUGUGACUACAGGAGGAACAGACUUGGAGAAGACUAAGAACUGGCAUAACAAAACUAAGUAGAUGGCAUAGGUCACCCCAUUUCCUUUCGAGCUCUUUGUAGGCAGACACCUUAUUAAUAUUGGUAAUUGGUCUCCAUGACACGUAGUGUAGGGUAUGGAGCUUAGUCAGUGAGGACUAUGGAAUUAAUCAGUGAAUGAACAAAGAACUAAAAAGCUCCUUGAGAGUAAGAAGGCGUCUUCAUUUUUCACUGAUGAAUUUGUAAAUUGCUGCUGUUUACAAUGACUAGUCUUAGUCAGAAAGCACAAAGUGGCCCAGCAUUAUUUUUAGUAAAUUAUUAGCUACUUAAAGACAGCACCUGUAAUUAUUUUCUUUGUGUCUUUGCUCACCUUCCUCCUAGCACAGUUAUUUGUGCAUAACAAGUCAUUAGUAAAUGUUUAAUGAAUGAAAAAUUCAGCUCGUAGACUAAUGAAGUUUCUUUCUUUUUAAAAGAAAACUGUUGAAACAUCAUUUUCAACAGUCUUUUUACAUUUACCAGUGCUUCUUAGUGGGGCCGAGUCUGACAGUUAUAAGCAUGAACAACUAAAAGAAGUAGAAUCAAAUAAUGCUUGAACUGGAGGAGGCUUUAGAGGUCAUUCGGUCCAGCUGCCUACCUGAUGUGUGUAGCAGUACAACUGCUAUGGGACCAUCUGGUUGCAGGAAAACAAGCUCACGGGUGCCACUGAGUCUACAUUAUGGUGAGUUGUAUUAUUAUGUCAUUAUAUAUUAUAAUGUAAUAAUAAUAGAAAUAAAGUGCACAAUAAAUGCUUGAAUCAUCCUGAUAACCAUCCCCCAACUCCCAACCCCACCCCCCAUCCAUGGAAAAAUUAUCUUCAUGAAACCAGUACCUGGUGCAAAAAGGUUGGGGAAUGCUGAACAAGUAAAGGUUCAAUAAAUGUUUGGGAGCAGAAAGGAUUCAGUAAAGGAAAGAAAGGCGAAUGGAAAGAUGAUUUGCAAAAAUGUUUAUAGCAGUUGAUGAACUUUUGGAUUGUUUUCACUUUUAAUAUUGUACUUUUCUAUAUUUCUUUGAUUUUUUUUCUCUCCAAGGAGCAUAUACAGUUAGAAAAUAGUAACAAUGUCAUUUUUAACAAAUAAAAGCUUUGUAGCUGGUAUACAUUGGCCAGGUUUAGGAAUAUGUGAGAGAUCCAAGAGUAGUCUGAGACUGAGGAGAAAGAGCUUUCAUAUGGCCAACCAGCAAGAAUGGGUUUUUGUUGCAAUCGCAGUUUUAGUGUUCUCUUGCCAUCCAAAAGGUAACCAUUUCAUCCUUAGGUAAAAAUAGAAGAUUUUCACCCCAAAUAUGGCAGAUGAUGCCAACAAUUCCAGAACCAGAAGCUUUCCUCUGCUAACGGAAGUCCCCUGUGCAAGCUGGCCCCAUCUCAGCCUCCCACUAGAGGCUCCUUGUCAGUAUUAGCCAGACCCAUGGGAUUUGCACUGGUACCUGAAUUAGAGUUUUCUCUGCUCUCCCUCCUCUCUUCCUGGCCCCCUCAAAAACUUUGCAGUUUUUCCCUCAGUCACUGAUUUCCAUCUUUUAGAUGUCCUAGGCACAUGAUCCAGUUCUAGUUUCUGCAACAGACAAUUAGAGAAAUGUCUGUCUGCCAGGAGAGGAAAUAGGAUGCUGAAGUGGUACCUCCUUUGCCCCACAUAAAGUGCUUCUGUCUGGAUCUUCUCCCAGAAUCCUUGGGAGCAGAGGCUGCUGCC